RNAcentral lists this ribosomal RNA (253 nucleotides) under uncultured bacterium. RNAcentral's name for it is "partial 16S ribosomal RNA". It matches the Rfam family "Bacterial small subunit ribosomal RNA", at positions 524 to 776 of the family's 1533-position model. The record is from RNAcentral.
GACGAACCGAGCGAACGUUGUUCGGAAUCACUGGGCUUAAAGGGCGCGUAGGCGGGCUGUCAAGUCUGGGGUGAAAUCCCGCGGCUCAACCGUGGAACUGCCUCAGAUACUGACGGUCUCGAGGGAGGUAGGGGCGAGCGGAACUGAUGGUGGAGCGGUGAAAUGCGUUGAUAUCAUCAGGAACUCCGGUGGCGAAGGCGGCUCGCUGGACCUCUUCUGACGCUGAGGCGCGAAGGCCAGGGGAGCAAACGGG